RNAcentral lists this long non-coding RNA (869 nucleotides) under Mytilus galloprovincialis (Mediterranean mussel). Lineage: Eukaryota; Metazoa; Mollusca; Bivalvia; Mytilida; Mytilidae. The record is from RNAcentral.
GUUGUUUUAUACAUAUAUUAUAUUAUAUAUAUAUAUAUAUUAUUGCUGUUUUAAAGUGUUAUUUAGCAUUAUACAGAUGCAUUCCAUUAAAGCCUGAUUAAAGAGUUUAUUUCUGUAGGUUGUUCCUUAUAUAACAGGGUAAACCAAUGGUGCUAUUUUUAAACAUUACAACACGGAUGAAAAUCAAUGCCACCAAUCACGAACACAUUGUACAUUUUAUCCAAAAAAAACUUAAAAUUGUUAUACAUGAUUGGGUGGCUGUAGUAGACUUUUCAUACAGCCAUUAACAUUCUAUCAAAGAUUAUAUGAUUAGGUGGUAAUAAAAAGCCAGCAAUCAAUCAGAUGUUUGGAAAAAAUUACAAUUUUACGAAAUCUGUUUUUGUUUUGUAUACCAAACCCAUACUUGCCAAUACACCUAGUUCUUUGAGGGACUUUAAUAAACUCUUUUUCUUUUAAAAUCGGAUGUAUCCCUCUUUGAGUCUGUAACCCUGGAGGGAGGUCCAAAUAUCCAUUUUUGACAAAAAACUACUAUUAGAGUUGCCAUGGUAUGUGUUUGACAAUGUUUGGCAAAAACAUGGUUGUUAGCAUAGUAAAAGGACACCCAAGGUAAUUAAGAAUUGUGGUUUAACUAAUUGCUAGUAAUAUUUAUAUUCAUGUCUAGAUAGUUUGAUCUUAUCUAUUUGUGAUGAAAUAUUAAAAUACUAUAAAAAUUUUACCAACAAUUAUAUUAAUAAAGGUUAUCAGGCAUAAUCUCUGCAACUGGAAAGAAGGAAAUCUCCAUUUUUGUAACUUCAAAAGGAGUUUGGGGGGUAUGAAAUCAGGAAAUCUUUUUUUAAGAUUUUAAAGAAUUAAAAAAUGUUGAGGAAAAG